GAUCCUGGCUCAGGAUGAACGCUGGCGGCGUGCCUAAUACAUGCAAGUCGAACGCGCAGCGAGAGGUGCUUGCACCUUUCAAGCGAGUGGCGAACGGGUGAGUAACACGUGGAUAACCUGCCUCAAGGCUGGGGAUAACAUUUGGAAACAGAUGCUAAUACCGAACUAAAACUUAAGUAUCGCGAUAGAUAUCAAGUUAAAAGGUACGUUACGGUCGUCACCUACGAGGAUGGAUCCGCCGGUGG
Molecule: ribosomal RNA, 245 nt
Filed under: uncultured bacterium
Lineage: Bacteria
Description: partial 16S ribosomal RNA
Rfam family: Bacterial small subunit ribosomal RNA
Source: RNAcentral